Molecule: ribosomal RNA, 519 nt
Filed under: uncultured Glomus
Lineage: Eukaryota; Fungi; Glomeromycota; Glomeromycetes; Glomerales; Glomeraceae
Description: SSU rRNA
Rfam family: Eukaryotic small subunit ribosomal RNA
Source: RNAcentral
AGCAGCCGCGGUAAUUCCAGCUCCAAUAGCGUAUAUUAAAGUUGUUGCAGUUAAAAAGCUCGUAGUUGAAUUUCGGGAUCAGUAGGUCGGUCAUGCCUCAGGUAUGUACUGGUCUCACUGGUUCCUCCUUCCUGAUGAACCGUAAUGCCAUUAAUUUGGUGUUGCGGGGAAACUGGACUGUUACUUUGAAAAAUUAGAGUGUUUAAAGCAGGCUAACGCUUGAAUACAUUAGCAUGGAAUAAUGAAAUAGGACGUUCGAUCCUAUUUUGUUGGUUUCUAGGAUUGACGUAAUGAUUAAUAGGGAUAGUUGGGGGCAUUAGUAUUCAAUUGUCAGAGGUGAAAUUCUUGGAUUUAUUGAAGACUAACUACUGCGAAAGCAUUUGCCAAGGAUGUUUUCAUUAAUCAAGAACGAAAGUUAGGGGAUCGAAGACGAUCAGAUACCGUCGUAGUCUUAACCAUAAACUAUGCCGACUAGGGAUCGGAUGAUGUUAUUUUUAAUGACUCAUUCGGCGCCUUAAC